UGCUUUUCUUUGGAUCUAAGGGGUGAUCAUAACAUAACUAUUACAACCUUUUAUCAAUCGCCAAUUCAAAUGCAUAAAAUAUGCUCAAAUAUCACACCAAAAACCUUUCAAGGAACCAAAACUCACUCCAUCUGGACCAACAAUUUCAAAGCUAGCAUAGUUCCACACAACUUGUUUCACUUCCUCAUCAAAAAAGGCUUAAAUUACUAACGAAUGUAAUUCAGUAGAUCCAACUUAUGUAACCCUUAUUUAAACAUCUUCAUUUUUACAUUCAAAUUAGAAAUGUUCUCCUUAUGCCAACCCCACGACACCUUCUUCACCCUUUUCAAUUUUUAUUUUAUAACGAACAUUCGACUAUGUUUUAAAGUUUUCUGAUACCCGUUAAAAUCCACCCAAAAUUUUAUCAUAUAGAAUGGCUAAGCCUUCCGGUCUUCCUCUACAUUUGAUAACAAGAACGCACUAUGAUUAGACAAAUCUCUAUCAAGUAUUCAUCGAGAACAUUAUUCCAUCAAAUAACAAC
Molecule: long non-coding RNA, 520 nt
Filed under: Cicer arietinum (chickpea)
Lineage: Eukaryota; Viridiplantae; Streptophyta; Magnoliopsida; Fabales; Fabaceae
Description: long non-coding RNA (CARI_LNC003236)
Source: RNAcentral